GUGUUAUACAGGAAUAAGGGAAUAGUUGCUGGAUUUUUUUAAAAAAUAAAAUGACUUCAAUCGGUAGGUAUUUAUGGAAAAACACUAGAAUCUUUAUAAAUAUCUUUAUGCUUAAAUAUAUUUUAAUUGGCUGCACUAAUAAAAGAGAAGGACUUCAACAGAAGCCUUGGGAUUAAUAAUUACUUUGCUAAAAAUGAUGAAUUCUUGGCUGGUGUGUUUGCAGGGAUCGGGCUGUGAGUCCCUGAAUGGCUGGAACCCUGGCAGAGAGGAGCCCGGAGUGUCGAAAGAGGGGCAACACAGACCAGAUGCAUCCUACAGAGACGGGAGGACUCCGAGCUUGGGGAAGAGACAGUUAAAGCUUCCCCGUGAGAGCGAGUUAUAUCAUGCAGCGCCAGUGCCAGGUCAGCAGUCUGGCUGGAGCUGGACCGGCUGGUGGCGCCAGGCAGUGCCAAGCACCCCUGGCAGCCCUGCAGAGGGUUCUCAAAUCCAGAUUUCAUUCUGCAGUCCCGGCAGUGCUUUGACGACUGCCUCACUAAAGGAAGCUAAAAGCUGUGCCGAUGCCUCCCAGACGAGCCUCGUUGGAAGCACAGAACCUUCACGACUCGGAGCCGCUGACACGGUGACAAAGGGAGCCCUGCUCAGGAGAAAAAGUAGACAAGAGGGAGAAAUUGAAAUUCAAAUAACCCAACACUCAGGCAGAUUGCCCGGCAGCAUGCGUACCUCUCACCAGCACAGUGAGGGAGGGGCCUGCGUCACUCCACAGAUGAGGCGCAGAGUCCCGCAGCUCCUAACGGGUGGAACUAGGAUUGGAAACCACUCCUCCUGGCUCAUCUUUUCCUGCUAAGAGUGCUGCACCAGCUCUGGAGGAAGCCUCAGGAGCGGUUACACGGGUCUCAGCUGCCUGUGCAUUUGAGUGGCCAUGGAGGAUGGAAUUUACGCUGCUGGCAUAAUCAGAGCCACUGCCCCUCAUCCGCAGAGGAGACACACCAUCCUGUAAUUGCAGAGCUCCCGUGCCUCGCUUUCCAAUUGGUCAUAAGCUGGAGGCUGGUGCUCUCUCUCCUCACCCUUCAGAUCCAAGUUCCCCAACUCCUCUCACCGCCCCCAGCCACCCCUUUAAUGACCCAUAAACAAGCAGCUACAUGCACCAGGCUCUGAGGGGCUCCAGCGAGGGGAGGAGGUGACUCUUCUGAAGAAGGGCUGCACCCGAGUUACUGAGUCAGCGAAAAGGCACCUUUCUCCAGGCCUAGAGCAAAACACAAUCAGCUUUCGCAGGAGUGGUUUCCGGGGCCAUGAGCUUGGGGGACAGGGCUGGCUGCAAUGGGGGCUGCCAAGGGCCCAGGUUCUGUGCUGGAAACAAGAGCACUCUGAUGGACUCGGAAAUACGGCGCUGAGGUGGGUGGGCUUUAGUCGGAACCACCGCCCCCACGUUCCUGCCCCAGGCUUCUCUCUCAGGCUUUCCUUCCAGGCCCUGCCAUUCUGCAUUCCUUAGUAAGCGGCUGUAGUUCCACUUUAGGCUGCCAGGAAGCCCCCUGUUCCCCUCUUCCCCCAGCUUUACAGCGUUCAUUAUUUACCUUCCAUUUUGCACAGUUAUAUCGCUGGAGUUUGAGAACACUUUCUAUGUGUAGAACAAGCAUUCGCACAUGCCACAACAUACAGUGAGCUGUUUUGUGCCAUGUGUUGUGCUCCUGUAUGCAAAUUAAAGAUGAAGUUAACAUUCUCUGUUGCUGGCUUUUCCCAGUGUGUGGGUAUCCAUUAUAGACUUCAAUUCUUUGUAAAUAUUUCAAAGGAAGAAAUUCAGAGAGAUGAUGUGAAGGUUGUGAAAUUCCCCAUCAUAAAAUCAGAAGCUGAUUAAAGCUGGAACAUGCAAAGCCAAUAUUGAUUUCAGCAGCAAAACCAAAAUCAGGACAAGCAGACACAAUAUUUUCAUAGUUAAAAAAGAAAAUGAUCUCAUGUGAAGAGAUGUUAUCACCGUAACAUGUGAUAUGAUGUAACUUGAGGAUGCUUUUGGAUACACUGCAAUAAUUCAGCUAACGCUACCAUAAAAAUGAAAGAAAUUUUUCCACAUCUGUAUUAUUAGCAAAUGAAUUAGGCAAUUAAUAAUUUGUUUGCUCUAAAAUGUCAUUUUCAUAAACACAAUUUAAGCAUUGUAUUUUUAUGAUGAUAUCUUUCAUUUUAAAGUUAUUUUUAAUUAGUGUUUAUUGUAUGUUAAUGCGCUCUCUUUCUGUUCCUUUUUUAUUGUCAGAAGUCCAUACCAGGUAGAGAUAAUUUUUGCUGGCUACUAUAAUAUAUAAUCUUGUUAGAAUAUAUUGGCCCAUAAUAACAAAUUGUGCAUUUAUCAUAGUAUGUGUUUUACCAAAAAAAAAACUCCUUUAAUGUAACCCUAUUACAGAAAAAAAAAAUCAGUGUUUAUUAUUUUGGUCCGUUUUUAUUUUUGUUUUUUAAAAAGUGCUUUCACAAAUACAGAAUAAUUAAUCUACACAUGCUCUAAAAUAAGGACUCUAGUAAAGAUAGCUGCAGAAACAUAGAUCGAAAAAUCACUUAUGUUGCCUGAGGGAGAUGGUUAGGAAACAGUACUGAGAUAAGAUAUAAUUUAAAAUGGGUUUUGAAGAAUGCAUAGGAGUUUGUCAAACUGUAAAGGAAGAGAAGGACAUCUCAUAGUGUACAGCCUAGACAAGCAAAAAUCUAGAUAGAGAAGUACAUAGUAUAUAGUGUCAGAACAGUAGGAGCUAGAAAUAAAAAAUACGAAAUCUGUGUAGUGCAACAAAAGCUAUAACCCCAGAAGAAAGGCUGCAUGUUGAUAAAUACAAAAGGAGGCCAGGAGAGGUGGCUUGCUCAUGCCUGUAAUGUAAUCCUAGCACUUUGGGAGGCCAAGGCAGGAGGAUCACGUGAGGUCAGGAGUUCGAGACCAGCCUGACCAACAUGGUGAAACCCUGUCUCUGCUAAAAAUACAAAAAUUAGCCAGGCAUGGCAGCAGGCACCUGUAAUCUCAGCUACUCGGGAGUCUGAGGCAGGAGAAUCGCUUGAACCCAGGAAGCAGAGGAUGCAGUGAAUUGAGAUUGCGCCAUUGCACUCCAGCCUGGGUGACAGAGUGUGACUGAGUCUCAAAAUAAAUAAAUAAACAAAUAAACAAAUACAAAAGGAGACAGUGAAAUUGAGCUAGGCCAUGAGAAUGGGAUUUGAGCCCCCCAGCUUUCUCCGUUCUAUUCUCACCUCUGUCUUCUCCAAAGCAGCCCAGCUUUGGUGCUCCAUGUUGGUGGCUGCAGGAGGCUUCAGAUCUAAUUUAACUGGUCUUUUCAGGGCCACCUAUCAGCUUGCACCUCCUCCAGGAAACCGUCCUGGCUCUCCAGCUCCCGUAGGCAUGUUCUUCUCUAACAUCUUGCAGUCCCUUCUCGUGAAUAUUUAGAAUCAGUGGCUCCUGUCCUUCUUCUUCCCAUUUUCCACUUCUCAGGUCUCUCAGUUGGCCUGAAGCGCCUUCCAGACCCAAGAACUUCCCACUUCCUCCACGUUCUGGCUCACAAAUUGAAUAGAGAUGCUUGUGGGGUACACACAGCCGACUGCUAAGCAGCAGGGGUAAACCCCCAGGGCUGAGCAGGCCCAAUCUUAGUACACUUGGAACCAGACACUACUGCCAGGAGGAUUGUGCUGACCCAUUGUCCUGCUACUGAAGCGUUUGGUCCGUGAACCAGCAGCAUCAGCGUGCCCUGCAGGCUUGUUGGAAACGCAGAUUCUCAGGCGCCACCUCCAGACCCAUGUGACUUGUAUGCACCAGGAAGUCAGAGAAGCUCUGGUGUUGCCCCCACACGCUACUCUCCUGGGUUAAGCAGAGCCAGGUCUAGGUAAAGAGAGGAACUUCCAGCAGGGCCUGGCUACUUUCCUGGCAGGGAGCCUGGCGCAGCAAUGGUAGUGGCAUUUAAUCCUGCCUGCACACAGGCAUCGUCCAGUGUGAACUGAUGCCGGGCCCUCUUCUCAAAGAUCUGAUUAAAUUGGUCUGGGAUGUGCCCAGGAAUGGGUCUUGUUUUGUUCCCAGAUUAUCCUAAUCUGUGCCCAGAGUGGACCCAGUGGUCAUCAUAGGAUAGAACAUUCUCCUCCCCAAGAGAACAAGGGAUGAGGAGGCCAAGCUGUCCCAUUGGCAUGGCCUUCAGCUGCCAGGGCCAGGUUUCUUUAAUCAGCCUGGCACAGGGUAGCUGGGCACUGAACAUGCAGACUUGGCAUGAACCCAGGCCAGAGAGCAGCUUCCAUGGGGAGCCAAUAUUAUAACUAUAUCAGUGGAGAGGCUC
Molecule: long non-coding RNA, 4277 nt
Filed under: Cercocebus atys (sooty mangabey)
Lineage: Eukaryota; Metazoa; Chordata; Mammalia; Primates; Cercopithecidae
Description: lncRNA (ENSCATG00000045486.1)
Source: RNAcentral